AUACGGAGGGUGCAAGCGUUAAUCGGAUUUACUGGGCGUAAAGCGCGCGUAGGCGGCUAAUUAAGUCAAAUGUGAAAUCCCCGAGCUUAACUUGGGAAUUGCAUUCGAUACUGGUUAGCUAGAGUGUGGGAGAGGAUGGUAGAAUUCCAGGUGUAGCGGUGAAAUGCGUAGAGAUCUGGAGGAAUACCGAUGGCGAAGGCAGCCAUCUGGCCUAACACUGACGCUGAGGUGCGAAAGCAUGGGGAGCAAACAGGAUUAGAGACCCCCGUAGUCC
RNAcentral lists this ribosomal RNA (274 nucleotides) under uncultured bacterium. RNAcentral describes it as "partial 16S ribosomal RNA". It matches the Rfam family "Bacterial small subunit ribosomal RNA", at positions 523 to 796 of the family's 1533-position model. The record is from RNAcentral.